Molecule: non-coding RNA, 80 nt
Organism: Araneus ventricosus
Lineage: Eukaryota; Metazoa; Arthropoda; Arachnida; Araneae; Araneidae
Source: the annotation of a GenBank genome assembly
CUCCCUGGCAGGGUAUGGAACCCUGGUCUACCCUGUGACGUGGUAGCAUGAGUGGAUACUGACCACUAUGCUACCAAGGA